AUGCGAAUGUGUACAGGAAUCCUGGUCAACACGGACUGCGAGUCUUCGCCCAAAAACCACGUGGCAGAUUUUAUUUUUUCCACCCAAAAGGAAUCCGGAUCCGACAAGGUGUGCGCGUCCUCACCACCACAAAUAUAGAAAGUAAUAAAAUAAAAAAAGAGAAAGUAGCGUUGAUUUCAAGUCAUUACAACCAAGAAAGAAAAACCGCGUCGACAGCUCAUCACUAUCCGUUACAACUUACACAUCCACCGUCUAUUAUUUCCAUCACCGGCUCAAUCUUGACCGUUCAUGCCGACCCCCUCUCCUCAUAA
This 311-nucleotide long non-coding RNA is filed under the name Prunus dulcis (almond). RNAcentral describes it as "sRNA ncRNA". The record is from RNAcentral. Lineage: Eukaryota; Viridiplantae; Streptophyta; Magnoliopsida; Rosales; Rosaceae.